Long non-coding RNA from Rhinolophus ferrumequinum (greater horseshoe bat), 1668 nucleotides. RefSeq lists it as uncharacterized. NCBI's taxonomy places the organism in Eukaryota, Metazoa, Chordata, Mammalia, Chiroptera, Rhinolophidae. The transcript has 3 exons. The record is from RefSeq and is a predicted model, not a curated record.
AUGUGUGGCGUACCGAUCUGGUGAAGUACUAAAAAGAAAACGUUGGUUUCACGAAACGGAAUGUUUUUUUUUUUUUUUUCCUCUCUUAGUUUUUUUUGUUUCCAUAGUUUCACGUUGUGGAGGUGUUCCAGUUUAAAAAUUCCUGCAGACACAGUCCGCACCCCCAUUGAAGCCUCAUCUCACCCUCGUGCAAGAUUGGGACCUCGCAGGCACGAGGCGGUUGCAGUGGGGAGAGCCCAGAGACCUCCUGGCCUAACACCUCCUUGAUUCCUCUAUGCUGGCCUAACGGACUGCCUUGGCAGCAAUCCAGUGGACGCAUACCAUCAAGAAACAAACAGUUAAAUACAGCAAUGGAGAAAACAUCAGAUGACUAUCCUCCCAGCAAUGGUUCUUCACCCCAGCAAGUGGCAGCUGAUUGCAGUCAAAAUUGGUGCCAGGUUCCCCACUGUCCGAGGACACGCCAAAUGGGCAGCACACCUUCCAGAGGUCUGAGUCCCAGCUCUGCAGGGCUUCUCCAGUCGCCUCCUGUCCUCGAUCUUUUCUUCUUGGUCCCCAAGCCCAGCGGUGGUGAUGGUGCUGUCUGAAAAUACUCUGUGUUGGCUCAGUGUCCUCCUGUUGCUUUUUAGUCCUUUAAUAGCUGUCGAAGCCAAUUCCCGACAUUCGAUUAUGUGUUAAAAUAACUGAUGUGGGUCCUAAUAGUUGCCUAGAUGGUGACUAAAUGAAGGUCUAGAAUCAUUUCCUAUAAUGUAGUAGGAAGAAGAUGGUUUGCAUCAGGCCUCCAAUCCAAUACUCAGGAUGCCUCUGGCAAGAAAUAAAGUGACCUGGAGGUGAACAUUCUUGUACCUUUGCCUCCAGACAAACAGCUAAUGGUGUUGGCUGGAGGAAGAGUUGGUACUCAUGGAAGGCCUUUAGGUCUCUCCAGGAUUACUAUGCACCUCGUCUCUCCAGGAUUGCUAUGGCAACCACACAACACAUGAAAAAACAAGAAAGAGAAAACAAAGAAACAACACCUUGGAAUGUAUCGAUUAAUGGGGCAGGGCUCCCUGGAAAACAUCACACAAGCUGUGUAACCACCUGAGUAGCGGUCCAUGACUGACCUGGCUUCUGUCUCUGUGUGGAACUGCAGGUAUUUUUAAAACUUAGUGUGUCAUUCUGGGCAUAUGUGUGUCCUGAUGAGAAAGAGCCAGGCAGUAGGUUGGCUGUUCCUCUGUGUGUCACUGUGCCCAGCAACUACUUGUAUCCUUGAAAUGAUUAGCAAAGCUUGAUGCAGGGUAUGAUCUGUCGUUCAUGUGAACCUUUGUUAUUGAGAGAUCAUCUCUCAGAAUGCCCUCAGUGCGUCCUCAGAAUAUGGGGGCAGACAAGCAAGAGGAAGACGUGGGACACAGGUCUUAAGGGAUCCAAAAGGUGAGAGACAUGAAGGGCACCCUCAAGACAGUGGAUAAGGGAGACCCCGGGCUGCGAUGGCAGCCCAUCCAGGCUGCAGCAAGAAACCGAUAGGUGGAGAGCUGUUUUCAGCAAGAAGCCUUCUGGCCUUGGAUCGUCUUUUAAAAUCUAGUGGUGCCUAGAUUUUAAAUCUAGUGGAGAGUUCUGCCUAGAUUCUUUUGUAGACUUGGCUUGCCUGGGUAAUGUGCUCAUAGAGCUCUUGCUUUCCUCUCAUUGCCUUAAGCA